RNAcentral lists this ribosomal RNA (229 nucleotides) under uncultured bacterium. RNAcentral describes it as "partial 16S ribosomal RNA". It matches the Rfam family "Bacterial small subunit ribosomal RNA", at positions 118 to 348 of the family's 1533-position model. The record is from RNAcentral.
UGAGCAAUCUGCCCUUCUCAUCGGAAUAAGCGUUGGAAACGACGUCUAAUGCCGAAUACGACCUCCUUUCGCAUGAUCGGAGGUGGAAAGCUCCGGCGGAGAAGGAUGAGCUCGCGGCCUAUCAGCUAGCUGGUGUGGGUAAUGGCCCACCAAGGCGACGACGGGUAGCCGGCCUGAGAGGGUGACCGGCCACACUGGGACUGAGACACGGCCCAGACUCCUAGGGAGG